This 495-nucleotide ribosomal RNA is filed under the name uncultured bacterium. Its description in RNAcentral is "partial 16S ribosomal RNA". It matches the Rfam family "Bacterial small subunit ribosomal RNA", at positions 28 to 507 of the family's 1533-position model. The record is from RNAcentral.
GACGAACGCUGGCGGCGUGCCUAAUACAUGCAAGUAGAACGCUGAAGGAGGAGCUUGCUUCUCUGGAUGAGUUGCGAACGGGUGAGUAACGCGUAGGUAACCUGCCUGGUAGCGGGGGAUAACUAUUGGAAACGAUAGCUAAUACCGCAUAAGAGUAGAUGUCGCAUGACAUUUGCUUAAAAAGUGCAAUUGCAUCACUACUAGAUGGACCUGCGUUGUAUUAGCUAGUUGGUGAGGUAACGGCUCACCAAGGCAACGAUACAUAGUCGACCUGAUAGGGUGAUCGGCCCAACUGGGACUGGGACAACGCCCAAGCUCCUUCCGGGGGGCACAAGAGGGGAUCUUCGGCAAUGGACGGAAGGCUGGCCGGGCCAAGGCGGGUGAGUGGAGAAGGUUUUCGGAUCGUAAAGCUCUGUUGUAAGGGAAGAAAGAGUGUGGGAGUGGAAAGUUCACGCUGUGACGGUACCUUACCAGAAAGGGACGGCUAACUACGUG